This 1261-nucleotide ribosomal RNA is filed under the name Acinetobacter sp. Its description in RNAcentral is "bacterial SSU rRNA". It matches the Rfam family "Bacterial small subunit ribosomal RNA", at positions 71 to 1326 of the family's 1533-position model. Lineage: Bacteria; Pseudomonadati; Pseudomonadota; Gammaproteobacteria; Moraxellales; Moraxellaceae. The record is from RNAcentral.
UGAUGGUGCUUGCACUAUCACUUAGCGGCGGACGGGUGAGUAAUGCUUAGGAAUCUGCCUAUUAGUGGGGGACAACAUCUCGAAAGGGAUGCUAAUACCGCAUACGUCCUACGGGAGAAAGCAGGGGAUCACUUGUGACCUUGCGCUAAUAGAUGAGCCUAAGUCGGAUUAGCUAGUUGGUGGGGUAAAGGCCUACCAAGGCGACGAUCUGUAGCGGGUCUGAGAGGAUGAUCCGCCACACUGGGACUGAGACACGGCCCAGACUCCUACGGGAGGCAGCAGUGGGGAAUAUUGGACAAUGGGGGGAACCCUGAUCCAGCCAUGCCGCGUGUGUGAAGAAGGCCUUAUGGUUGUAAAGCACUUUAAGCGAGGAGGAGGCUCUUUUGGUUAAUACCCAAGAUGAGUGGACGUUACUCGCAGAAUAAGCACCGGCUAACUCUGUGCCAGCAGCCGCGGUAAUACAGAGGGUGCAAGCGUUAAUCGGAUUUACUGGGCGUAAAGCGCGCGUAGGCGGCCAAUUAAGUCAAAUGUGAAAUCCCCGAGCUUAACUUGGGAAUUGCAUUCGAUACUGGUUGGCUAGAGUGUGGGAGAGGAUGGUAGAAUUCCAGGUGUAGCGGUGAAAUGCGUAGAGAUCUGGAGGAAUACCGAUGGCGAAGGCAGCCAUCUGGCCUAACACUGACGCUGAGGUGCGAAAGCAUGGGGAGCAAACAGGAUUAGAUACCCUGGUAGUCCAUGCCGUAAACGAUGUCUACUAGCCGUUGGGGCCUUUGAGGCUUUAGUGGCGCAGCUAACGCGAUAAGUAGACCGCCUGGGGAGUACGGUCGCAAGACUAAAACUCAAAUGAAUUGACGGGGGCCCGCACAAGCGGUGGAGCAUGUGGUUUAAUUCGAUGCAACGCGAAGAACCUUACCUGGCCUUGACAUAGUAGAAACUUUCCAGAGAUGGAUUGGUGCCUUCGGGAAUCUACAUACAGGUGCUGCAUGGCUGUCGUCAGCUCGUGUCGUGAGAUGUUGGGUUAAGUCCCGCAACGAGCGCAACCCUUUUCCUUACUUGCCAGCAUUUCGGAUGGGAACUUUAAGGAUACUGCCAGUGACAAACUGGAGGAAGGCGGGGACGACGUCAAGUCAUCAUGGCCCUUACGGCCAGGGCUACACACGUGCUACAAUGGUCGGUACAAAGGGUUGCUACCUAGCGAUAGGAUGCUAAUCUCAAAAAGCCGAUCGUAGUCCGGAUUGGAGUCUGCAACUCGACUCCAUGAAGU